ACUCCUACGGGAGGCAGCAGUGGGGAAUAUUGCACAAUGGGGGAAACCCUGAUGCAGCCAUGCCGCGUGUGUGAAGAAGGCCUUCGGGUUGUAAAGCACUUUCAGUAGGGAGGAAGGUAGUGUAGUUAACACCUGCAUUAUUUGUACGUUACCUACAGAAGAAGCACCGGCUAACUCCGUGCCAGCAGCCGCGGUAAUACGGAGGGUGCGAGCGUUAAUCGGAAUUACUGGGCGUAAAGCGCAUGCAGGCGGCCUGUUAAGUCAGAUGUGAAAGCCCGGGGUCUUAACCUCGGAAUUGCAUUUGAAACUGGCAGGCUAGAGUCUGUAGAGGGGUUAGAAUUUCGAGGUGUAGCGGUGAAAUGCGUAGAGAUC
RNAcentral lists this ribosomal RNA (372 nucleotides) under uncultured bacterium. RNAcentral's name for it is "bacterial SSU rRNA". It matches the Rfam family "Bacterial small subunit ribosomal RNA", at positions 335 to 698 of the family's 1533-position model. The record is from RNAcentral.